Small nucleolar RNA from Crocodylus porosus (Australian saltwater crocodile), 68 nucleotides. Its record names the gene SNORD58. It matches the Rfam family "Small nucleolar RNA SNORD58". From Rfam's summary of the family: snoRNA U58 is found in introns 1, 3 and 6 of the ribosomal protein RPL17 gene in humans. NCBI's taxonomy places the organism in Eukaryota, Metazoa, Chordata, Crocodylia, Crocodylidae. The record is from Ensembl.
UUGCUGUGAUGACUUUCUUAGGACACCUUUGGAUUAACCAUGAAAAGAAGUUUCGAGUUCUGAGCAAC